AACAUUCCAGAACGUAAGAAUUUUCAUGAUUUGAGACGCAUAACCAAGAGCAACAUUCUUGGCACUGUUACGCACGAAAAAGAGACGCUUCACAAAGUAAUUUUCCCAAUUCAAGGGAACCUUAUUUUGAAGAUUAUACAAGAGAUGAAUGCCUGCCCUGUCUAACCUAGAAUGUCCACUAUUUGCUGGACGCAUAAUGUGCGAGAUAAUCCACUGAAGUAUACG
This 225-nucleotide long non-coding RNA is filed under the name Lathyrus oleraceus (garden pea). RNAcentral describes it as "Pisum sativum (pea) long non-coding RNA (PSAT_LNC006600)". Lineage: Eukaryota; Viridiplantae; Streptophyta; Magnoliopsida; Fabales; Fabaceae. The record is from RNAcentral.